RNAcentral lists this ribosomal RNA (425 nucleotides) under uncultured bacterium. RNAcentral's name for it is "partial 16S ribosomal RNA". It matches the Rfam family "Bacterial small subunit ribosomal RNA", at positions 354 to 796 of the family's 1533-position model. The record is from RNAcentral.
GUGGGGAAUAUUGGACAAUGGGGGAAACCCUGAUCCAGCGACGCCGCGUGAGUGAAGAAGUAUUUCGGUAUGUAAAGCUCUAUCAGCAGGGAAGAAAAUGACGGUACCUGACUAAGAAGCCCCGGCUAACUACGUGCCAGCAGCCGCGGUAAUACGUAGGGGGCAAGCGUUAUCCGGAUUUACUGGGUGUAAAGGGAGCGUAGACGGCACUGCAAGUCUGGAGUGAAAGCCCGGGGCUCAACCCCGGGACUGCUUUGGAAACUGUGGUGCUGGAGUGCAGGAGAGGUAAGCGGAAUUCCCGGUGUAGCGGUGAAAUGCGUAGAGAUCGGGAGGAACACCAGUGGCGAAGGCGGCUUACUGGACUGUAACUGACGCUGAGGCGCGAAAGUGUGGGGAGCAAACAGGAUUAGAUACCCUGGUAGUCC